AUUGAACGCUGGCGGCAGGCCUAACACAUGCAGGUCGAGCGGAUGAAGGGAGCUUGCUCCUGGAUUCAGCGGCGGACGGGUGAGUAAUGCCUAGGAAUCUGCCUGGUAGUGGGGGAUAACGUCCGGAAACGGGCGCUAAUACCGCAUACGUCCUGAGGGAGAAAGUGGGGGAUCUACGGACCUCACGCUAUCAGAUGAGCCUAGGUCGGAUUAGCUAGUUGGUGGGGUAAAGGCCUACCAAGGCGACGAUCCGUAACUGGUCUGAGAGGAUGAUCAGUCACACUGGAACUGAGACACGGUCCAGACUCCUACGGGAGGCAGCAGUGGGGAAUAUUGGACAAUGGGCGAAAGCCUGAUCCAGCCAUGCCGCGUGUGUGAAGAAGGUCUUCGGAUUGUAAAGCACUUUAAGUUGGGAGGAAGGGCAGUAAGUUAAUACCUUGCUGUUUUGACGUUACCAACAGAAUAAGCACCGGCUAACUUCGUG
RNAcentral lists this ribosomal RNA (484 nucleotides) under uncultured bacterium. RNAcentral's name for it is "partial 16S ribosomal RNA". It matches the Rfam family "Bacterial small subunit ribosomal RNA", at positions 30 to 507 of the family's 1533-position model. The record is from RNAcentral.